This 125-nucleotide small RNA is filed under the name Marmota monax (woodchuck). The record is from RNAcentral. Lineage: Eukaryota; Metazoa; Chordata; Mammalia; Rodentia; Sciuridae.
GCCGGGUGCAGUGGUGUGUGCCUGUAAUCCCAGCAGCUAGGGAGGCUGAGUCAGGAGGAUUGCAAGUUCAAAGCCAGACUCAGCAAUGGCGAGGUACUAAGCAACUCACUGAGACCCUGUCUCUA